Molecule: ribosomal RNA, 468 nt
Filed under: uncultured bacterium
Lineage: Bacteria
Description: partial 16S ribosomal RNA
Rfam family: Bacterial small subunit ribosomal RNA
Source: RNAcentral
GGCGAACGCUGGCGGCGUGCUUAACACAUGCAAGUCGAACGGAAAGGCCCUGCUUUUGUGGGGUGCUCGAGUGGCGAACGGGUGAGUAACACGUGAGUAACCUGCCCUUGACUUUGGGAUAACUUCAGGAAACUGGGGCUAAUACCGGAUAGGAGCUCCUGCUGCAUGGUGGGGGUUGGAAAGUUUCGGCGGUUGGGGAUGGACUCGCGGCUUAUCAGCUUGUUGGUGGGGUAGUGGCUUACCAAGGCUUUGACGGGUAGCCGGCCUGAGAGGGUGACCGGCCACACUGGGACUGAGAUACGGCCCAGACUCCUACGGGAGGCAGCAGUGGGGAAUAUUGUACAAUGGGCGGAGGCCUGAUGCAGCAACGCCGCGUGCGGGAUGACGGCCUUCGGGUUGUAAACCGCUUUCGCCUGUGACGAAGCGUGAGUGACGGUAAUGGGUAAAGAAGCACCGGCUAACUACGUG